CAGAUCUCACUGCAUGCACAACUGAAGGGAGAUAAAAGAGCGUGAGAGAAAUGCAAAACACAUGAAAACAACAUGAAAUGGAGCACAUACAAUGG
Long non-coding RNA from Nanorana parkeri, 95 nucleotides. RefSeq lists it as uncharacterized. The record is from RefSeq and is a predicted model, not a curated record. Lineage: Eukaryota; Metazoa; Chordata; Amphibia; Anura; Dicroglossidae. The transcript has 4 exons.